Molecule: unclassified non-coding RNA, 147 nt
Organism: Pongo abelii (Sumatran orangutan)
Lineage: Eukaryota; Metazoa; Chordata; Mammalia; Primates; Hominidae
Rfam family: Metazoan signal recognition particle RNA
About the family: The signal recognition particle (SRP) is a universally conserved ribonucleoprotein. It is involved in the co-translational targeting of proteins to membranes. The eukaryotic SRP consists of a 300-nucleotide 7S RNA and six proteins: SRPs 72, 68, 54, 19, 14, and 9.
Source: Ensembl
GCUGGGCGUGGUGGCGGGUGCCUGUAGUCCCAGCUACUCUGGAGGCUGAGGCAGGAGAAUCACUUGAACCUGGGAAGUGGAGUUGCAGUGAGCUGAGAUCAUGCCACUGCAUUCCACCCUGGGCAACAGAGUGAGACCCGGUCUCAA